This 224-nucleotide ribosomal RNA is filed under the name uncultured Pseudomonas sp. RNAcentral describes it as "partial 16S ribosomal RNA". It matches the Rfam family "Bacterial small subunit ribosomal RNA", at positions 1159 to 1382 of the family's 1533-position model. Lineage: Bacteria; Pseudomonadati; Pseudomonadota; Gammaproteobacteria; Pseudomonadales; Pseudomonadaceae. The record is from RNAcentral.
AAACCGGAGGGAAGGUGGGGAUGACGUCAAGUCAUCAUGGCCCUUACGGCCUGGGCUACACACGUGCUACAAUGGUCGGUACAAAGGGUUGCCAAGCCGCGAGGUGGAGCUAAUCCCAUAAAACCGAUCGUAGUCCGGAUCGCAGUCUGCAACUCGACUGCGUGAAGUCGGAAUCGCUAGUAAUCGUGAAUCAGAAUGUCACGGUGAAUACGUUCCCGGGCCUU